AUUGAACGCUGGCGGCAUGCCUUACACAUGCAAGUCGAACGGCAGCACGGGAGCAAUCCUGGUGGCGAGUGGCGAACGGGUGAGUAAUAUAUCGGAACGUGCCCAGUCGUGGGGGAUGACGUAGCGAAAGCUACGCUAAUACCGCAUACGAUCUAUGGAUGAAAGCGGGGGAUCGCAAGACCUCGCGCGAUUGGAGCGGCCGAUAUCAGAUUAGGUAGUUGGUGAGGUAAAGGCUCACCAAGCCGACGAUCUGUAGCUGGUCUGAGAGGACGACCAGCCACACUGGGACUGAGACACGGCCCAGACUCCUACGGGAGGCAGCAGUGGGGAAUUUUGGACAAUGGGCACAAGCCUGAUCCAGCAAUGCCGCGUGCAGGAUGAAGGCCUUCGGGUUGUAAACUGCUUUUGUACGGAACGAAACGGCGAGCUCUAAUACAGUUUGCUAAUGACGGUACCGUAAGAAUAAGCACCGGCUAACUACGUGCCAGCAGCCGCAGUAA
RNAcentral lists this ribosomal RNA (500 nucleotides) under uncultured bacterium. Its description in RNAcentral is "partial 16S ribosomal RNA". It matches the Rfam family "Bacterial small subunit ribosomal RNA", at positions 30 to 523 of the family's 1533-position model. The record is from RNAcentral.